CACGACGAAUAAAACUUUAUUGAAACUGGGAAUUGUUUAUUCCAGCCAUUGGUCUAUCUUAGGGUUUCUCCACCUCGGCUCUAUUGACAUUUGGGGUCCGAUCAUUCCUUUUAGGGGGGAUGGUCCCGUGCAUUACAGGAUGCUGACUACCAUCUUCAGCUCUUACCCAUGAGACGUCAGCAGCACUACCUGCCCCCCCACUGGCCCUCAAGGUGUGACACCCCAAAAUGUCCCAGAUAUUGCCAAGUGUCCCGCGGGUGCGCACAUUCACCCCAGCUUGAGUCUGUAGUCUUCUCUUAUCAGACAAGGAGCUACAUUUAUGGUGGCCCCUUGGACAUUUGAGGAACAGAGACUCAAGGUGGCCUCAGCUAAACUCGUCAUCUCCUCUUCCCCCAUCUCUACCUCCACUUGCUCCUUCCUCAGCUCCCUGUUGCAAGGAAGGCCCCACCUGCGGGACAUCAACGACCUUUUAUUGUCCCAAGUCCCAUUUGUGUUGCUUCCUAAAUAACCACUAAACCCAUCCACUUCAUCCAUGUCCCCUGCCGCCACCCAAAUCCAGGACACCAUCCAUGCAUGCCUGGACCAUUGCAGUAGCCACUUUCCAAGCCAGCUCCAUUCACUCCUGCCCCCUACAGUCCAUUCUCCACACAGCAGCCAGAGAGAGAGCUUUUCAAAAGGCGAUUGUGAUAACAGGUCCACGGGGCCUGGAGAAUCCACUUCUCAGAUGGCUCCUUCCCAUGGUUGUUGGCGGGAGGCCUCCGUUCCUUGUCCGUGGGCUUCUCAGGUGUCUUCACAACAUGGCAGCUGGCUUCCGCUGGAGCAAGUGAUCCAAGACAGGGCGCAAGGAGGCCUCGACGCCUUUGAUGACCAAAAAAAAAAAGGAAGGAGAUCCUGACACCUGCUCCCACGUGGAUGGACCUGAGGAUGUGAUGCUCAGGGACGUGAGCCAGACACAGAAGGACACACACUGUGUGGUCCACUCACAGGAGGUCCCCAGAGGAGCCACAUCCACAGAGACAGAAAGUGGAUGGGGGGCCAGGGGCUGGGGGAGGGGUGGGAGUCAGUGUGUCAUGGGGACAGAGCUUCCGUUUGGGGAGAUGGAAAGCUCUGUUCCUCCCCGAACCACAGCCUUUACUGCUCUGGCUAAGAAGGAAGGGACCCAGCGCAGAGAUGCAGAGCGGAGGAGGUGACAUCGCUGGCCGGGCUCCCUCGGCAUCAAUUGUCGCUGAGCUAACAUCUGUGCCAAUCUUCUAUUUUACGUGGGACGCUGCCGCAGCAUGGCUUGAUGAGUGGUGUAUAGGUCCAUGCUGAGAACCCAAACCCGCGAACCCUGGGCCACUGAAGCAGAGCAUGUAAACUUAACCUCUACCCGACCAGGCCAGCCCCUCACCCUCUGUUUUACCCACCUGGUCACCAGAGCCGGCUCAUCCAUCAGACACAGGAGACCCAGGGCCCGUGACACUCUGAGGGACCCACAGAAUGGCUUCAUUUUAAUGUCUCAAAAUCAGGAGAAAAAGAGAAAUAAAAGAACCCCAGUGCAGUCGCGCAAGAUCAGCUGUCACAUUUUUUCACGGAGGGAGGGGCCCCCAGUGGCAAACGUCUCACGUGGCCCUGCCCAUCCCGUGCUGCCCGGCACACAGCAGGCGCUUAAUAACUGUCUAUGGAAGGACUGAACAUCCGCUGAAUCGCUGGUCCCCACUCGUAACAGGAGACGCGGGACAAACGGGUCGGUGGACGGGCGGGGGCGGUCAGGGGGCGGCCAGGCGACACCGGACCCGGCAGAGACCAAGCCGGGAGCACAGCGCCACCUUGUGGCACAGGGUCGGCGGGGGGGGGGGGGAGGGCCCCCC
Equus asinus (donkey) is the source of this 1850-nucleotide long non-coding RNA. Lineage: Eukaryota; Metazoa; Chordata; Mammalia; Perissodactyla; Equidae. The record is from Ensembl.